This 140-nucleotide ribosomal RNA is filed under the name uncultured eukaryote. Its description in RNAcentral is "partial 18S ribosomal RNA". It matches the Rfam family "Eukaryotic small subunit ribosomal RNA", at positions 1299 to 1458 of the family's 1831-position model. The record is from RNAcentral.
UGGUGGGUUGCCUUGUCAGGUUGAUUCCGGUAACGAACGAGACCUCAGCCUGCUAAAUAGUCUCACUUGCUUUUUGUCAGGUGGCUGACUUCUUAGAGGGACUAUUGGCGUUUAGUCAAUGGAAGUAUGAGGCAAUAACA